RNAcentral lists this long non-coding RNA (476 nucleotides) under Physcomitrium patens. Its description in RNAcentral is "long non-coding RNA (PPAT_LNC001248)". Lineage: Eukaryota; Viridiplantae; Streptophyta; Bryopsida; Funariales; Funariaceae. The record is from RNAcentral.
GCAGGAAUUUUAACCAUCUCUAGCGGCGGAAAGAAAUGUGAAAAAUGGAAGAAAUUGAAGAAAGAAAAAAUAAUCCAUUUGAGACAGACUUGUACCAUGCUGUGAUAAAGAUAGGAGAUGACCGAACAGAUAUAAAUACCAAUGGUAUGCAACCCCAACGUAAUAUUUAAUACCCUCUACAUUGAAAUUCCAACGACAUAAAAUGCAAAUCACAUGUGCCUCAUUAAAGACAACGAAACGUACAUCAUCUGACUCUUCCUUCUCCUCCUCCUUCUUGGCUUCUUCCUUCUCCUCGGCAGCAGGGGCAGCAGAACCGCCACCAGCGCCUGCAGAAGACACCACAACACCGCCACCUCCACCUGAGGGUACGGAUGCGAACUUUUCCUUUCCUGCUGCAAUAACUUCCAAGAUAUCUUUUCCCUCGAGCUCCUUCAACAAUAGGCUUACUCUAGCCGCAUCUGCCUCAGCACCGACUG